This 292-nucleotide ribosomal RNA is filed under the name uncultured bacterium. Its description in RNAcentral is "partial 16S ribosomal RNA". It matches the Rfam family "Bacterial small subunit ribosomal RNA", at positions 505 to 796 of the family's 1533-position model. The record is from RNAcentral.
GUGCCAGCCGCCGCGGUAAUACGUAGGGGGCAAGCGUUGUCCGGAAUUAUUGGGCGUAAAGAGCGUGUAGGCGGCCCGACAAGUCCGCCGUGAAAGUCCAGGGCUCAACCCUGGAAUGCCGGUGGAAACUGUCGGGCUUGAGUUCGGAAGAGGCGAGUGGAAUUCCUGGUGUAGCGGUGAAAUGCGCAGAUAUCAGGAGGAACACCAAUGGCGAAGGCAGCUCGCUGGGACGACACUGACGCUGAGACGCGAAAGCGUGGGGAGCAAACAGGAUUAGAUACCCGGGUAGUCC